UUUGCCUACGGGACGCAGCAGUGGGGAAUAUUGCACAAUGGGGGAAACCCUGAUGCAGCGACGCCGCGUGAGCGAAGAAGUAUUUCGGUGUGUAAAGCUCUAUCAGCAGGGAAGAAAAAUGACGGUACCUGAGUAAGAAGCACCGGCUAAAUACGUGCCAGCAGCCGCGGUAAUACGUAUGGUGCAAGCGUUAUCCGGAUUUACUGGGUGUAAAGGGAGCGCAGGCGGGGCGGCAAGUCUGAUGUGGAAGCCCGGGGCCCAAACCCGGGGC
Molecule: ribosomal RNA, 271 nt
Filed under: uncultured bacterium
Lineage: Bacteria
Description: partial 16S ribosomal RNA
Rfam family: Bacterial small subunit ribosomal RNA
Source: RNAcentral